GACGAACGCUGGCGGCGUGCUUAACACAUGCAAGUCGAACGAUGAAGGGAUCAGCUUGCUGGUUCUGGGUUAGUGGCGAACGGGUGAGUAACACGUGGGUAACCUGCCUCCUUCUUCGGGAUAACCGCAUGAAAGUGUGGCUAAUACGGGAUAUUCUUCGCCUGCGGCAUGGUGGGUGGGGGAAAGAGGUUGUUUCGGCGGGGGUUGGGCGCGCGGCCUAUAAGCGUGUUGGUGGGGUGAUGGCCUACCAAGGCGGUGACGGGUAGCCGGCCUGGGAGGGGGGACGAUCACACUGGGACUGAGACACGGCCCAGACUGCUACGGGGGGCAGGGGUGGGGAAUACAGCACAAGGGGGGCAAGCCUGAUGAAGCGACGCCGCGUGAGGGAGGGAGGCCUUCGGGUUGUGAACCUCUUAGGGAAGUGAAGCAGGCCUGUUACCUGUGGGUGGGUUGACGGUAGCUGGAUAAGAAGCGACGGCUAACUACGUG
Molecule: ribosomal RNA, 489 nt
Filed under: uncultured bacterium
Lineage: Bacteria
Description: partial 16S ribosomal RNA
Rfam family: Bacterial small subunit ribosomal RNA
Source: RNAcentral